RNAcentral lists this unclassified non-coding RNA (160 nucleotides) under uncultured Chaetomium. Its description in RNAcentral is "sequence contains ITS2". Lineage: Eukaryota; Fungi; Ascomycota; Sordariomycetes; Sordariales; Chaetomiaceae. The record is from RNAcentral.
CAACCAUCAAGCCCCGGGCUUGUGUUGGGGACCUGCGGCCGCCCGCAGGCCCUGAAAACCAGUGGCGGGCUCGCUGUCACCCCGAGCGUAGUAGCAAUCACCUCGCUCAGGGCGUGCCGCGGGCACCGGCCGUUAAAAGCUGCCCUCGCGCAACACCCAA